RNAcentral lists this small nucleolar RNA (107 nucleotides) under Corchorus capsularis. RNAcentral's name for it is "Plant small nucleolar RNA R71". It matches the Rfam family "Plant small nucleolar RNA R71". Rfam says of the family: R71 is a member of the C/D box family of snoRNAs containing the C (UGAUGA) and D (CUGA) box motifs. The record is from Rfam by way of RNAcentral. Lineage: Eukaryota; Viridiplantae; Streptophyta; Magnoliopsida; Malvales; Malvaceae.
ACUCCAUGGUGUGGACAUUUCCGCUGCAAAUCCUUGAAUCUUUCCCAGGCAUCAUGAAGGGUUUCGUUGUCACGUUGCCUAAAGCUAGUGAUGUCAGUUCUGAGCUU